RNAcentral lists this ribosomal RNA (483 nucleotides) under uncultured bacterium. Its description in RNAcentral is "partial 16S ribosomal RNA". It matches the Rfam family "Bacterial small subunit ribosomal RNA", at positions 28 to 507 of the family's 1533-position model. The record is from RNAcentral.
GACGAACGCUGGCGGCGUGCUUAACACAUGCAAGUCGAACGCUGAAGCUCAGCUUUUGUUGGGUGGAUGAGUGGCGAACGGGUGAGUAACACGUGAGUAACCUGCCCCCUUCUUUGGGAUAACGCCCGGAAACGGGUGCUAAUACUGGAUAUUCACUGGUCUUCGCAUGGGGGUUGGUGGAAAGGGUUUUUCUGGUGGGGGAUGGGCUCGCGGCCUAUCAGCUUGUUGGUGGGGUGAUGGCCUACCAAGGCUUUGACGGGUAGCCGGCCUGAGAGGGUGACCGGUCACAUUGGGACUGAGAUACGGCCCAGACUCCUACGGGAGGCAGCAGUGGGGAAUAUUGCACAAUGGGCGCAAGCCUGAUGCAGCGACGCCGCGUGAGGGAUGGAGGCCUUCGGGUUAUGAACCUCUUUCGCUCAUGGUCAAGCCGCAACAAUGGUUGUGGUGAGGGUAGUGGGUAAAGAAGCGCCGGCUAACUACGUG